GGACCUGACUGCUAUCGGAUUGAUACUAAGCCAUGCGAGUCAUUGUAGCAAUACAAGGCAUACGGCUCAGUAACGCGUAGUCAACCUAACCUAUGGACGGGAAUAACCUCGGGAAACUGAGAAUAAUACCCGAUAGAACAUUAUACCUGGAAUGGUUUAUGUUCCAAAUGAUUUAUCGCCGUAGGAUGGGACUGCGGCCUAUCAGUUUGUUGGUGAGGUAAUGGCCCACCAAGACUAUUACAGGUACGGGCUCUGAGAGGAGUAGCCCGGAGAUGGGUACUGAGACACGGACCCAGGCCCUAUGGGGCGCAGCAGGCGAGAAAACUUUGCAAUGUGCGAAAGCACGACAAGGUUAAUCCGAGUGAUUUCUGCUAAAGAAACCUUUUGUCAGUCCUAGAAACACUAAUGAAUAAGGGGUGGGCGAGUUCUGGUGU
This 434-nucleotide ribosomal RNA is filed under the name uncultured archaeon. Its description in RNAcentral is "bacterial SSU rRNA". It matches the Rfam family "Archaeal small subunit ribosomal RNA", at positions 19 to 458 of the family's 1478-position model. The record is from RNAcentral.